Molecule: non-coding RNA, 159 nt
Filed under: bovine gut metagenome
Description: Lysine riboswitch
Rfam family: Lysine riboswitch aptamer
About the family: Riboswitches are metabolite binding domains within certain messenger RNAs that serve as precision sensors for their corresponding targets. Allosteric rearrangement of mRNA structure is mediated by ligand binding, and this results in modulation of gene expression.
Source: RNAcentral
AGAUAGAGGCGCGAGGUUCAUCAGUAAGCUCCUGCACGGAAGCAGCUUUCGCAGAAGCCGAAAGGGAACAUCGCCGAAGUGAAGAGAUGCAGCUGCGCUCUCUUUGCUGGGCCGUCAGGAAAGACUUGACGGACUGUCACGCAAGUGGAGCGCUAUCGA